CCUACGGGUGACAGCAGUGGGGAAUAUUGCACAAUGGGGGGAACCCUGAUGCAGCGACGCCGCGUGGGUGAAGGAGUAUUUCGGUAUGUAAAGCCCUAUCAGCAGGGAAGAACAAUGACGGUACCUGACUAAGAAGCACCGGCUAAAUACGUGCCAGCAGCCGCGGUAAUACGUAUGGUGCACGCGUUAUCCGGAUUUACUGGGUGUAUGGGGAGCGCAGGCGGCGCGUUAAGCCUGGUGUGAAAGCUCGCGUCCCAACCGCGGGACUGCAGUGGGAACUGGCGCGCUGGAGUGCCGGAGGGGUAGGCGGAAUUCCUAGUGGAGCGGUGAAAUGCGUAGAUAUUAGGAGGAACACCAGUGGCGAAGGCGGCCCACUGGACGGUGACUGACGCGGAGGCUCGAAAGCAUGGGGAGCAAACAGGAUUAGAUACCCGAGUAGUC
Molecule: ribosomal RNA, 441 nt
Filed under: uncultured bacterium
Lineage: Bacteria
Description: partial 16S ribosomal RNA
Rfam family: Bacterial small subunit ribosomal RNA
Source: RNAcentral